RNAcentral lists this ribosomal RNA (467 nucleotides) under uncultured Acetobacteraceae bacterium. RNAcentral's name for it is "partial 16S ribosomal RNA". Lineage: Bacteria; Pseudomonadati; Pseudomonadota; Alphaproteobacteria; Acetobacterales; Acetobacteraceae. The record is from RNAcentral.
CACGAAGUUAGCCGGGGCUUCUUCUGCGGGUACCGUCAUCAUCGUCCCCGCCGAAAGGGCUUUACAAUCCGAAGACCUUCUUCACCCACGCGGCAUUGCUGGAUCAGGCUUUCGCCCAUUGUCCAAUACUCCCCACUGCUGCCUCCCGUAGGAGUCUGGGCCGUGUCUCAGUCCCAGUGUGGCUGAUCAUCCUCUCAGACCAGCUACCGAUCGCGGCCUUGGUAAGCCAUCACCCCACCAACUAGCUAAUCGGACGCAGGCCGCUCCAUGGGCGGCCGAUCUCUCGGCCUUUGGCCCUCAGGCCCCGUGCGGUAUUAGCCGCAGUUUCCCGCGGUUGUCCCCCACCCUUGGAUACGUUCCUACGCGCUCCUCACCCGUCCGCCACUGAUGCGCCCGAAAGCCCACCCGUCAGACUUGCAUGUGUUAGGCAUGCCGCCAGCGUUCGCUCUGAGCCAGGAUCAAACUCU